CCAAAAUAAGCUGUAGUUAAGAGUCUUCACAGCUGGCCACCUGUCCAUUCUGUCUAGUUGUUCAUGGUGCCACCACCACGAGGUGAGGCAAGGCAGAUGGGGGAAGGGGUAGAGCUACCCUAUGUGCCCUAUACCUGCUUACCUCAGGCCUCCUCAGCCAGACCUCCCAUGCCCCAACACCUGUCUCACCUCAUGGUGGCAGCACCAAUAGCCCCAUCCACCAGGAAACCAUGUUGCCACCCACUUCUGUGGCCAUUCACCGCUGCUCAUGUGCUUCCUCCCAACCUCCAUUUUGCCAGCAAAGGCCUUCAGGAAAAGGCCUCUGCAGCUGAGAAUGGAGCCUGGGGAUGACACACAACCCUGAAGGCCUCUACCAGCAAAACAGAGGCUGGGGAUGACACAUGAGAGCUGCAGCACGUGGCUGCAGAAGUGGACUGUUACCAUUAGCCAAUGGCCAGCAGAAGGCAGUAUGUGCUAAUUUUCCAUGAAUUAGAAUCUCUAGCUAGAUUCUUCCAGUCAAGUUGCAGGUCCUGCUCUUUGGAAUUCCAGACAAUAUGUCCAACAUCAGACUGGUGUUUCAUUUCUCUUCCAAGGAGCUUCUUCACCUAUGGGACAACCAUAACCUGGAUGAUUGAGAAUCUCCAUAGACAAGUUGUAAUUUUGAAAUGUUUCCAUGUUAUCAUGAAUUUAUCAGUUAAAAUCAUGACCUGACCUGUCUCUGAAAGUAUAAUGAUGAUGGUGGUAUGAAAUAAAAUAUGGCCUAUUGCCUUCUAUGCUUCUUCACAAUGUUUCUCUUAUACAAGUAAUACUGAUCAGAGGUUUUGAGCAGAGAGACAAUCUGAAGAUACAUUAUUACAGCUUCCACAUAUUGCAGACUUCAUGUACUUGGAUAGUUGACCUUUUAGUCCAAAACCUUUGUAAAGAACCAGAUAACCCAUGUAUGGUUUAGAGAAAUGUUGAAUCCAAGCCGUGCCAUUUCUG
This is a long non-coding RNA of Crotalus tigris (Tiger rattlesnake), 981 nucleotides long. RefSeq lists it as uncharacterized. Lineage: Eukaryota; Metazoa; Chordata; Lepidosauria; Squamata; Viperidae. The transcript has 3 exons. The record is from RefSeq and is a predicted model, not a curated record.